AGCCCAAGGACAGCGUGCUUUGUGGGAAGAAUGCCGGAUUGAGGGUUAGGAGACUUUGGAAUCCCAGCUUUGCUGCUUGUUUACUACCUGUGAGACCUUGGUGUAAUGGAAAGAACACUGGCUUUGGAGUCAAAGAACCUGGGUCUGAAUGCCUUACUAGCUCUAUACCUCAGUGCCUUGGAGGCAGCAUGGUAUGGCCCUGGGAUCAGGAAGAUCUGGAUUCAAGUCCUGCCUUUGACACAUAUCAGCUCAGUAAUCCUGGCCCCCAGACAACUAUGACUACAAGUUGCU
Phascolarctos cinereus (koala) is the source of this 291-nucleotide non-coding RNA. The record is from RefSeq and is a predicted model, not a curated record. Lineage: Eukaryota; Metazoa; Chordata; Mammalia; Diprotodontia; Phascolarctidae.